RNAcentral lists this transfer RNA (789 nucleotides) under Bartonella massiliensis. Its description in RNAcentral is "partial 16S-23S ribosomal RNA intergenic spacer". The stretch from base 216 to 289 matches the Rfam family "tRNA". The record is from RNAcentral. Lineage: Bacteria; Pseudomonadati; Pseudomonadota; Alphaproteobacteria; Hyphomicrobiales; Bartonellaceae.
GAUGAUGAUCCCAAGCCUUCUGGCGAUCUCUUAAAAUAAAGCCUUAAAAUAAAACCUGGCAUGUUUUAAACAAACAGGUUUUGUAAAUAGAUCUUUAAACUCUUAAUCGUUUUAAAGCGCAUACAUUUGAAAAAAAGGCUUUAUGAAGAAAGCACUUUUAAGCUUUUCCAAUGAUUUAAGAUGAUACCGGGGAAGGUUUUCCGGUUUAUCCCGGAGGGCUUGUAGCUCAGUUGGUUAGAGCGCGCGCUUGAUAAGCGUGAGGUCGGAGGUUCAAGUCCUCCCAGGCCCACCAAUUUAUGCUCAUUUUUUGCGUAUCUUGAGCGUUAUGAAGCUUAAGCGUGUUAAAGCCUCUUUUAAAUCUUUGUUUCAUAUUUAAAGAUUUCUUUUAUCGUUCAAAGAUUGCCAAAAUUGCUAAAGAUUGUUUGUUCAAUUUAUUCCAUUAAAUUUAUCAGACCAUGGAGUUUAAAUUCAUGAGAUUUGUCAAAGAGAAUUUUAAAAUCCCUUUAAAGACAUAGAUAAAUUUGAUUGUAACAAAUUUAAAGGAUAGAAAUCAAAACGGUCUAAAUAAAAUAAAAUGCAGCUGAAAAAAGCGUAGGCAAUUUAAAUUGAUAAAAUGGCUUGAGAUUGAUUUUAGAGAGCAUUCUUUAGGGGCCGUAGCUCAGCUGGGAGAGCACCUGCUUUGCAAGCAGGGGGUCGUCGGUUCGAUCCCGUCCGGCUCCACCAUUUAGAUCAUCAUCAUGUUGUAAGAACACGGUUUAGUAAAAGGCUUUUUACCCUUUUGCUGGUUCU